This 497-nucleotide ribosomal RNA is filed under the name uncultured bacterium. RNAcentral describes it as "partial 16S ribosomal RNA". It matches the Rfam family "Bacterial small subunit ribosomal RNA", at positions 28 to 507 of the family's 1533-position model. The record is from RNAcentral.
GAUGAACGCUGGCGGCGUGCCUAAUACAUGCAAGUCGAGCGAACAGACGAGGAGCUUGCUCCUCUGACGUUAGCGGCGGACGGGUGAGUAACACGUGGAUAACCUACCUAUAAGACUGGGAUAACUUCGGGAAACCGGAGCUAAUACCGGAUAAUAUAUUGAACCGCGUGGUUCAAUAGUGAAAGACGGUUUUGCUGUCACUUAUAGAUGGAUCCGCGCCGCAUUAGCUAGUUGGUAAGGUAACGGCUUACCAAGGCAACGAUGCGUAGCCGACCUGAGAGGGGGAUCGGCCACACUGGAGCUGAGACACGCUCCAGACUCCUACGGGAGGCCGCAGGAGGGAAUCUUCCGCAAUGGGCGAAAGCUUGACGGAGCAACGCCGCGUGAGGGAUGAAGGUCUUCGGAGCGUAGGACUCUGUUAUUAGGGAAGAACAAAUGUGUAAGUAACUAUGCACGUCUUGACGGUACCUAAUCAGAAAGCCACGGCUAACUACGUG